GAAAAAUUGACCUCGAUCGAUCACUUCGUUCUGGCUAGUGGAAGAGGCAGGAGUGAUCGAUUUUUAAGUGUCGCGCCGUGAUGUGUUGUUAAAGAUUUGUUGAGUGUAACUUGUUGAGUGCAACGUUAUAUUGCGUAAAGUUAUUAGCAGCUUCGUGCGUGUGGUUAAAAUUGUGCAGGUUUGUGGCAUUCUGCGGAGCCGUACACAUCACACCAAAAGUCAACGAUCGCUUCUGACCCCACCGUCAGCUACGAGGGUUUUCCCGGAAGUUCGUCAACCGGAAGAGGGUUUGCGAACAUUCAUCGCGCCCUAGGCAAGGCUAGCAGAUACCCGGAUUCAUCGCGAAAUUGCGCCAAUCGUCUACAAUUCAUCGCCGCGACGACCGUACCCGUUCAUCGCCGCCGCGUGAAGCCCACAGACCGGAGGGAAUCAUCUGCGUCAACGUCAUCGACGCGAACAUCAAUCAACGCGUCCGUUCGAAUG
Long non-coding RNA from Armigeres subalbatus, 483 nucleotides. RefSeq lists it as uncharacterized. The transcript is spliced from 3 exons. The record is from RefSeq and is a predicted model, not a curated record. NCBI's taxonomy places the organism in Eukaryota, Metazoa, Arthropoda, Insecta, Diptera, Culicidae.